GAUGAAGAACGUAGCGAAAUGCGAUACGUAAUGUGAAUUGCAGAAUUCAGUGAAUCAUCGAAUCUUUGAACGCAUAUUGCGCUCUCUGGUAUUCCGGAGAGCAUGCUUGUUUGAGUAUCAGUAAACACCUCAACUCCCUUUUCUUUUUUGAAAUGGGAGCUGGACUUGAGUGAUCCCAACACUUUUCUCACUGGAAAGUGGCGGGUCACUUGAAAUGCAGGUGCAGCUGGACUUUUCUCUGAGCUAUAAGCAUAUCUAUUUAGUCUGCCUAAAAAACAGAUUAUUACCUUUGCUGCAGCUAACAUAAAGGAGAUGAGUUCUUGUGCUGACUGAUGCAGGAUUCAUAGAGACAGCUUUGCGGCUGACUUUGUAAACUCGAUCUCAAAUCAAGUAAGACUACCCGCUGAACUUAAGCAUAUCAAUAAGCGGAGGA
RNAcentral lists this unclassified non-coding RNA (433 nucleotides) under soil metagenome. RNAcentral's name for it is "partial contains 5.8S ribosomal RNA, internal transcribed spacer 2, and large subunit ribosomal RNA". The stretch from base 1 to 120 matches the Rfam family "5.8S ribosomal RNA", at positions 35 to 154 of the family's 154-position model. The record is from RNAcentral.